RNAcentral lists this ribosomal RNA (1076 nucleotides) under Salmonella enterica subsp. enterica serovar Typhimurium. RNAcentral's name for it is "partial 23S ribosomal RNA". It matches the Rfam family "Bacterial large subunit ribosomal RNA", at positions 554 to 1547 of the family's 2925-position model. The record is from RNAcentral. Lineage: Bacteria; Pseudomonadati; Pseudomonadota; Gammaproteobacteria; Enterobacterales; Enterobacteriaceae.
AACCGUGUACGUACAAGCAGUGGGAGCACAGGUUUACCUGUGUGACUGCGUACCUUUUGUAUAAUGGGUCAGCGACUUAUAUUCUGUAGCAAGGUUAACCGUAUAGGGGAGCCGUAGGGAAACCGAGUCUUAACCGGGCGUUAAGUUGCAGGGUAUAGACCCGAAACCCGGUGAUCUAGCCAUGGGCAGGUUGAAGGUUGGGUAACACUAACUGGAGGACCGAACCGACUAAUGUUGAAAAAUUAGCGGAUGACCUGUGGCUGGGGGUGAAAGGCCAAUCAAACCGGGAGAUAGCUGGUUCUCCCCGAAAGCUAUUUAGGUAGCGCCUCGUGAAUUCAUCUCCGGGGGUAGAGCACUGUUUCGGCUAGGGGGCCAUCCCGGCUUACCAACCCGAUGCAAACUGCGAAUACCGGAGAAUGUUAUCACGGGAGACACACGGCGGGUGCUAACGUCCGUCGUGAAGAGGGAAACAACCCAGACCGCCAGCUAAGGUCCCAAAGUCAUGGUUAAGUGGGAAACGAUGUGGGAAGGCCCAGACAGCCAGGAUGUUGGCUUAGAAGCAGCCAUCAUUUAAAGAAAGCGUAAUAGCUCACUGGUCGAGUCGGCCUGCGCGGAAGAUGUAACGGGGCUAAACCAUGCACCGAAGCUGCGGCAGCGAACGUAUCACCCAAGACAACUUUACGGAGUUGACGAUUGACGGAGCGAAGCGACGUCAAAGCGUUCAUUAAAGUCGAGUUGGCUUAGGGAUACGUUCGUUGGGUAGGGGAGCGUUCUGUAAGCCUGUGAAGGUGUGUCGUGAGGCAUGCUGGAGGUAUCAGAAGUGCGAAUGCUGACAUAAGUAACGAUAAAGCGGGUGAAAAGCCCGCUCGCCGGAAGACCAAGGGUUCCUGUCCAACGUUAAUCGGGGCAGGGUGAGUCGACCCCUAAGGCGAGGCCGAAAGGCGUAGUCGAUGGGAAACGGGUUAAUAUUCCCGUACUUGGUGUUACUGCGAAGGGGGGACGGAGAAGGCUAUGUUGGCCGGGCGACGGUUGUCCCGGUUUAAGCGUGUAGGUGUGUGUUCCAGGUAAAUCCGGUU